UAAGGAAUAUUGGUCAAUGGACGCAAGUCUGAACCAGCCAUGCCGCGUGGAGGAUUAAGGCCCUCUGGGUUGUAAACUCCUUUUAUCUGGGAAGAAAUGUACUUUUUCUUGAGUACUUGACGGUACCAGAGGAAUAAGCACCGGCUAACUCCGUGCCAGCAGCCGCGGUAAUACGGAGGGUGCAAGCGUUAUCCGGAUUCACUGGGUUUAAAGGGUGCGUAGGUGGGCAGGUAAGUCAGUGGUGAAAUCUCCGGGCUUAACCCGGAAACUGCCGUGGAUACUUGUUGUCUUGAAUAUUGUGGAGGUAAGCGGAAUAUGUCAUGUAGCGGUGAAAUGCUUAGAUAUGACAUAGAACACCAAUUGCGAAGGCAGCUUACUACACAAUCAUUGACGCUGAGGCACGAAAGCGUGGGGAUCAAACA
Molecule: ribosomal RNA, 422 nt
Filed under: uncultured bacterium
Lineage: Bacteria
Description: bacterial SSU rRNA
Rfam family: Bacterial small subunit ribosomal RNA
Source: RNAcentral